GGAGGGGGAUAACUACUGGAAACGGUAGCUAAUACCGCAUAACGUCGCAAGACCAAAGAGGGGGACCUUCGGGCCUCUUGCCAUCGGAUGUGCCCAGAUGGGAUUAGCUUGUUGGUGGGGUAACGGCUCACCUAGGCGACGAUCCCUAGCUGGUCUGAGAGGAUGACCAGCCACACUGGAACUGAGACACGGUCCAGACUCCUACGGGAGGCAGCAGUGGGGAAUAUUGCACAAUGGGCGCAAGCCUGAUGCAGCCAUGCCGCGUGUAUGAAGAAGGCCUUCGGGUUGUAAAGUACUUUCAGCGGGGAGGAAGGGAGUAAAGUUAAUACCUUUGCUCAUUGACGUUACCCGCAGAAGAAGCACCGGCUAACUCCGUGCCAGCAGCCGCGGUAAUACGGAGGGUGCAAGCGUUAAUCGGAAUUACUGGGCGUAAAGCGCACGCAGGCGGUUUGUUAAGUCAGAUGUGAAAUCCCCCGG
RNAcentral lists this ribosomal RNA (477 nucleotides) under Escherichia coli. Its description in RNAcentral is "bacterial SSU rRNA". It matches the Rfam family "Bacterial small subunit ribosomal RNA", at positions 135 to 607 of the family's 1533-position model. Lineage: Bacteria; Pseudomonadati; Pseudomonadota; Gammaproteobacteria; Enterobacterales; Enterobacteriaceae. The record is from RNAcentral.